GUAGUCAUAUGCUUGUCUCAAAGAUUAAGCCAUGCAUGUCUAAGUAUAAGCAAUCUAUACCGUGAAACUGCGAAUGGCUCAUUAAAUCAGUUAUCGUUUAUUUGAUAGUACCUUACUACUUGGAUAACCGUGGUAAUUCUAGAGCUAAUACAUGCUAAAAACCUCGACUUCGGAAGGGGUGUAUUUAUUAGAUAAAAAACCAAUGCCCUUCGGGGCUCCUUGGUGAUUCAUAAUAACUUAACGAAUCGCAUGGCCUUGUGCCGGCGAUGGUUCAUUCAAAUUUCUGCCCUAUCAACUUUCGAUUGUAGAGUAGUGGUCUACAAUGGUUUCAACGGGUAACGGGGAAUUAGGGUUCUAUUCCGGAGAGGGAGCCUGAGAAACGGCUACCACAUCCAAGGAAGGCAGCAGGCGCGCAAAUUACCCAAUCCCGACACGGGGAGGUAGUGACAAUAAAUACUGAUACAGGGCUCUUUUGGGUCUUGUAAUUGGAAUGAGUACAAUUUAAAUCCCUUAACGAGGAACAAUUGGAGGGCAAGUCUGGUGCCAGCAGCCGCGGUAAUUCCAGCUCCAAUAGCGUAUAUUAAAGUUGUUGCAGUUAAAAAGCUCGUAGUUGAACCUUGGGCCUGGCUGGCCGGUCCGCCUCACCGCGUGCACUGGUCCGGCCGGGUCUUUCCUUCUGAGGAGCCGCAUGCCCUUCACUGGGUGUGUCGGGGAAUCAGGACUUUUACUUUGAAAAAAUUAGAGUGUUCAAAGCAGGCCUAUGCUCGAAUACAUUAGCAUGGAAUAAUAGAAUAGGACGUGUGGUUCUAUUUUGUUGGUUUCUAGGACCGCCGUAAUGAUUAAUAGGGAUAGUCGGGGGCAUCAGUAUUCAAUUGUCAGAGGUGAAAUUCUUGGAUUUAUUGAAGACUAACUACUGCGAAAGCAUUUGCCAAGGAUGUUUUCAUUAAUCAGUGAACGAAAGUUAGGGGAUCGAAGACGAUCAGAUACCGUCGUAGUCUUAACCAUAAACUAUGCCGACUAGGGAUCGGGCGAUGUUAUCUUUUUGACUCGCUCGGCACCUUACGAGAAAUCAAAGU
Molecule: ribosomal RNA, 1076 nt
Filed under: Phialocephala fortinii
Lineage: Eukaryota; Fungi; Ascomycota; Leotiomycetes; Helotiales; Mollisiaceae
Also listed under: 2 other names
Description: SSU rRNA
Rfam family: Eukaryotic small subunit ribosomal RNA
Source: RNAcentral